UUGGAGGGCAAGUCUGGUGCCAGCAGCCGCGGUAAUUCCAGCUCCAAUAGCGUAUAUUAAAGUUGUUGCAGUUAAAAAGCUCGUAGUUGAAUUUCGGGACCGGUGGGUUGGUCGUGCCUCCGGUACGUACUGGACCUACCGGUUCCUCCCUUCUGACGAACCACGAUGCCAUUAAUUUGGUGUUGUGGGGAAUCAGGACUGUUACUUUGAAAAAAUUAGAGUGUUUAAAGCAGGCUAAAGCUUGAAUAGAUUAGCAUGGAAUAACGAAAUAGGACGUUUGAUCUUAUUUUGUUGGUUUCUAAGAUCGACGUAAUGAUUAAUAGGGAUAGUUGGGGGCAUUAGUAUUCAAUUGUCAGAGGUGAAAUUCUUGGAUUUAUUGAAGACUAACUACUGCGAAAGCAUUUGCCAAGGAUGUUUUCAUUAAUCAAGAACGAAAGUUAGGGGAUCGAAGACGAUCAGAUACCGUCGUAGUCUUAACCAUAAACUAUGCCGACUAGGGAUCGGAUGAUGUUAAUUUUUUAAUGACUCAUUCGGCGCCUUACGGGAAAC
RNAcentral lists this ribosomal RNA (549 nucleotides) under uncultured Glomus. RNAcentral describes it as "SSU rRNA". It matches the Rfam family "Eukaryotic small subunit ribosomal RNA", at positions 548 to 1098 of the family's 1831-position model. Lineage: Eukaryota; Fungi; Glomeromycota; Glomeromycetes; Glomerales; Glomeraceae. The record is from RNAcentral.